ACGGGUGAGUAAUGCUUAGGAAUCUGCCUAUUAGUGGGGGACAACAUCUCGAAAGGGAUGCUAAUACCGCAUACGUCCUACGGGAGAAAGCAGGGGACCUUCGGGCCUUGCGCUAAUAGAUGAGCCUAAGUCGGAUUAGCUAGUUGGUGGGGUAAAGGCCUACCAAGGCGACGAUCUGUAGCGGGUCUGAGAGGAUGAUCCGCCACACUGGGACUGAGACACGGCCCAGACUCCUACGGGAGGCAGCAGUGGGGAAUAUUGGACAAUGGGGGGAACCCUGAUCCAGCCAUGCCGCGUGUGUGAAGAAGGCCUUUUGGUUGUAAAGCACUUUAAGCGAGGAGGAGGCUACCGAGAUUAAUACUCUUGGAUAGUGGACGUUACUCGCAGAAUAAGCACCGGCUAACUCUGUGCCAGCAGCCGCGGUAAUACAGAGGGUGCAAGCGUUAACCGGAUUUACUGGGCGUAAAGCGCGCGUAGGUGGCCAAUUAAGUCAAAUGUGAAAUCCCCGAGCUUAACUUGAGAAUUGCAUUCGAUACUGGUUGGCUAGAGUAUGGGAGAGGAUGGUAGAAUUCCAGUGUAGCGGUGAAA
RNAcentral lists this ribosomal RNA (588 nucleotides) under uncultured bacterium. RNAcentral describes it as "bacterial SSU rRNA". It matches the Rfam family "Bacterial small subunit ribosomal RNA", at positions 102 to 686 of the family's 1533-position model. The record is from RNAcentral.